CCUACGGGUGGCAGCAGUGGGGAAUAUUGGACAAUGGGCGAAAGCCUGAUCCAGCCAUGCCGCGUGUGUGAAGAAGGCCUUCGGGUUGUAAAGCACUUUCAGUGGGGAAGAAAGCCUUGGGGCUAAUACCCUCGAGGAAGGACAUCACCCACAGAAGAAGCACCGGCUAACUCCGUGCCAGCAGCCGCGGUAAUACGGAGGGUGCGAGCGUUAAUCGGAAUUACUGGGCGUAAAGCGCGCGUAGGCGGUCUGAUAAGCCGGUUGUGAAAGCCCCGGGCGCAACCUGGGAACGGCAUCCGGAACCGUCAGGCUAGAGUGCAGGAGAGGAAGGUAGAAUUCCCGGUGUAGCGGUGAAAUGCGUAGAGAUCGGGAGGAAUACCAGUGGCGAAGGCGGCCUUCUGGACUGACACUGACGCUGAGGUGCGAAAGCGUGGGUAGCAAACAGGAUUAGAUACCCUAGUAGUC
Molecule: ribosomal RNA, 465 nt
Filed under: Vreelandella stevensii
Lineage: Bacteria; Pseudomonadati; Pseudomonadota; Gammaproteobacteria; Oceanospirillales; Halomonadaceae
Description: partial 16S ribosomal RNA
Rfam family: Bacterial small subunit ribosomal RNA
Source: RNAcentral